GCUUGUCUCAAAGAUUAAGCCAUGCAUGUCUAAGUACAAGCCUCAGUAAGGUGAAACCGCGAAUGGCUCAUUAAAUCACACCUAAUCUACUGGAAAGUUACUAGUUACUUGGAUAACUGAGGUAAUUCUUGAGCUAAUACAUGCUGAAAAGCCCGACUUCGGAAGGGUUGUAUUUAUUAGAUAAAAAACCAAUGCCCUUCGGGGCUCUUUGGUGAUUCAUGAUAACUUCUCAGAUCGCACGGCCUUGCGCCGGCGACGGUUCAUUCAAAUUUCUGCCCUAUCAACUUUCGAUGGUACGGUAUUGGCCUACCAUGGUUUCAACGGGUAACAGGGAAUUAGGGUUCGAUUCUGGAGAGCGAGCCUGAGAGACGGCUAGCACAUCCAAGGAAGGCAGCAGG
This 398-nucleotide ribosomal RNA is filed under the name uncultured Trematosphaeria. RNAcentral describes it as "partial small subunit ribosomal RNA". It matches the Rfam family "Eukaryotic small subunit ribosomal RNA", at positions 30 to 432 of the family's 1831-position model. Lineage: Eukaryota; Fungi; Ascomycota; Dothideomycetes; Pleosporales; Trematosphaeriaceae. The record is from RNAcentral.